GAUCAACGCUGGCGGCGUGCAUAACACAUGCAAGUCGAACGAUGAAGAUUAAAAGAUUUCUUCGGAAUGAACUUAAUUGGAUUAGUGGCGGACGGGUGAGUAACGCGUGAGUAACCUGCCUUGUACAAGGGGAUAGCCGUUGGAAACGACGAAUAAUACCCUAUGACAUCAAAUAAUCGCAUGAUAAUUUGAUCAACGAUUUAUCGGUAUAAGAUGGACUCGCGUCUGAUUAGCUAGUUGGUAGAGUAAAAGCCUACCAAGGCAACGAUCAGUAGCCGGCUUGAGAGAGUGUACGGCCACAUUGGGACUGAGACACGGCCCAGACUCCUACGGGAGGCAGCAGUGGGGAAUUUUGCACAAUGGGGGAAACCCUGAUGCAGCGACGCCGCGUGAUUUAGAAGGCCUUCGGGUUGUAAAAAUCUUUUGUAUGGGAAGAAAAUGACAGUACCAUACGAAUAAGGACCGGCUAAUUACGUG
This 477-nucleotide ribosomal RNA is filed under the name uncultured bacterium. RNAcentral's name for it is "partial 16S ribosomal RNA". It matches the Rfam family "Bacterial small subunit ribosomal RNA", at positions 28 to 507 of the family's 1533-position model. The record is from RNAcentral.